Molecule: ribosomal RNA, 433 nt
Filed under: uncultured bacterium
Lineage: Bacteria
Description: partial 16S ribosomal RNA
Rfam family: Bacterial small subunit ribosomal RNA
Source: RNAcentral
AACGAACGCUGGCGGCAGGCUUAACACAUGCAAGUCGAGCGCAUCCUUCGGGGUGAGCGGCAGACGGGUGAGUAACGCGUGGGAAUCUACCUUUUGCUACGGAAUAGCUCCGGGAAACUGGAAUUAAUACCGUAUGUGCCCUUAGGGGGAAAGAUUUAUCGGCAAGAGAUGAGCCCGCGUUGGAUUAGCUAGUUGGUGGGGUAAAGGCCUACCAAGGCGACGAUCCAUAGCUGGUCUGAGAGGAUGAUCAGCCACAUUGGGACUGAGACACGGCCCAAACUCCUACGGGAGGCAGCAGUGGGGAAUAUUGGACAAUGGGCGCAAGCCUGAUCCAGCCAUGCCGCGUGAGUGAUGAAGGCUUUAGGGUUGUAAAGCUCUUUCACCGGAGAAGAUAAUGACGGUAUCCGGAGAAGAAGCCCCGGCUAACUUCGUG